RNAcentral lists this ribosomal RNA (376 nucleotides) under uncultured bacterium. RNAcentral describes it as "bacterial SSU rRNA". It matches the Rfam family "Bacterial small subunit ribosomal RNA", at positions 521 to 896 of the family's 1533-position model. The record is from RNAcentral.
UAAUACAGAGGGUGCGAGCGUUAAUCGGAAUUACUGGGCGUAAAGCGCGCGUAGGCGGUCUUGUAAGUCGGGUGUGAAAGCCCCGGGCUCAACCUGGGAACUGCAUUCGAGACUGCAAGACUGGAGUAUUGGAGAGGGCAGCGGAAUUUCCGGUGUAGCGGUGAAAUGCGUAGAUAUCGGAAGGAACAUCAGUGGCGAAAGCGGCUGCCUGGCCAAAUACUGACGCUCAUGUGCGAAAGCGUGGGGAGCAAACAGGAUUAGAUACCCUGGUAGUCCACGCCAUAAACGAUGACAACUAGACGUCGGAAGGAAUUGCCUUUCGGUGUCGCAGCUAACGCGUUAAGUUGUCCGCCUGGGGAGUACGGCCGCAAGGUUG